RNAcentral lists this ribosomal RNA (473 nucleotides) under uncultured bacterium. RNAcentral describes it as "SSU rRNA". It matches the Rfam family "Bacterial small subunit ribosomal RNA", at positions 26 to 518 of the family's 1533-position model. The record is from RNAcentral.
AGGAUGAACGCUGGCGGCGUGCCUAACACAUGCAAGUCGAACGUCCUGUCUCGCAAGAGGCAGGGAGUGGCGGACGGGUGAGUACCACGUGGGUUAUCUACCGUGAGGUGAGGAAUACCGGCGAGAAAUCGCCGACAAGACCGCAUAGCCUCGGUGCAAGCCGAGCAAAGCUCUUUCGAGAGAGGGAGCGCCACACGAGGAGCCUGCGCCCGAUUAGCUAGCUGGUGGAGUAACGGUUCACCAGGGCGACGAUCGGUAGCUGGUCUGAGAGGACGAUCAGCCACACUGGGAUUGAGAACGGCCCAGACUCCUACGGGGGGCAGCAGUGAGGAAUUUUCGUCAAUGGGGGCAACCCUGAACGAGCAACGCCGCGUGCAGGAAGAAGGUUUUCGGAUCGUAAACUGCUUUUCUCGGGGAAGAGAACGGACGGUACCCGAGGAAUCAGCCCCGGCUAACUACGUGCCAGCAGCCGC